CCUACGGGUGGCAGCAGUAGGGAAUUUUCGUCAAUGGGCGCAAGCCUGAACGAGCAAUGCCGCGUGAACGAGGAAGGUCUUCGGAUCGUAAAGUUCUGUUGAAGGGGAAAAAGAGCGGAGAGAGGAUAUGGUCUCCGAUUGAUAUUACCCUUCGAGGAAGUCACGGCUAACUACGUGCCAGCAGCCGCGGUAAUACGUGGGUGGCGAGCGUUAUCCGGAAUGAUUGGGCGUAAAGGAUGCGUAGGCGGCCUGCUAAGUCUGGAGUGAAAGGUACCGGCUCAACCGGUACAGGCUCUGGAAACUGGCGGGCUAGAGAGCAGGAGAGGGCGGUGGAACUCCAUGUGUAGCGGUAAAAUGCGUAGAUAUAUGGAAGAACACCAGUGGCGAAGGCGGCCGCCUGGCCUGUUACUGACGCUGAGGCACGAAAGCGUGGGGAGCAAAUAGGAUUAGAUACCCGAGUAGUC
This 464-nucleotide ribosomal RNA is filed under the name uncultured bacterium. Its description in RNAcentral is "partial 16S ribosomal RNA". It matches the Rfam family "Bacterial small subunit ribosomal RNA", at positions 338 to 795 of the family's 1533-position model. The record is from RNAcentral.